CCAGGCUGGCUUCAAACUCACAGAGAUCAACUAUCUCUGUCCCCCGAGUGCCAGAAUUAAAGCACAUGGAUCUAGCUUAUAAGAGACCUUGGUCCUUCUGGCGUCUACAGUCUCCUGGAUGGAAAUUCAAGGUGAACUCAUGGAAUAAAUCCCAAGUAACACAAUGCUGCUGAAUAAGGUGCCUGUUGAUUCUGGAAACAUAGUAAAUGUAAAAACCUUUUUUGGGUUUACUUGGAAAGAAAUUAUACACAAAAUCUUUCUA
Non-coding RNA from Cricetulus griseus (Chinese hamster), 262 nucleotides. The record is from RefSeq and is a predicted model, not a curated record. Lineage: Eukaryota; Metazoa; Chordata; Mammalia; Rodentia; Cricetidae.